RNAcentral lists this ribosomal RNA (531 nucleotides) under uncultured bacterium. Its description in RNAcentral is "bacterial SSU rRNA". It matches the Rfam family "Bacterial small subunit ribosomal RNA", at positions 777 to 1302 of the family's 1533-position model. The record is from RNAcentral.
AAUAGAUACCCUGGUAGUCCACGCCGUAAACGAUGAGUGCUAAGUGUUAGAGGGUUUCCGCCCUCUAGUGCUGCAGCUAACGCAUUAAGCACUCCGCCUGGGGAGUACGGCCGCAAGGCUGAAACUCAAAGGAAUUGACGGGGGCCCGCACAAGCGGUGGAGCAUGUGGUUUAAUUCGAAGCAACGCGAAGAACCUUACCAGGUCUUGACAUCCUCUGCCAACCCUAGAGAUAGGGCGUUCCCCUUCGGGGGACAGAGUGACAGGUGGUGCAUGGUUGUCGUCAGCUCGUGUCGUGAGAUGUUGGGUUAAGUCCCGCAACGAGCGCAACCCUUGAUCUUAGUUGCCAGCAUUCAGUUGGGGCACUCUAAGGUGACUGCCGGUGACAAACCGGGAGGAAGGUGGGGAUGACGUCAAAUCAUCAUGCCCCUUAUGACCUGGGGCUACACACGUGCUACAAUGGAUGGUACAAAGAGCUGCGAACCCGCGAGGGUAAGCCAAUCUCAUAAAAGCCAUUCUCAGUUCGGAUUGGU